Molecule: ribosomal RNA, 357 nt
Filed under: uncultured bacterium
Lineage: Bacteria
Description: bacterial SSU rRNA
Rfam family: Bacterial small subunit ribosomal RNA
Source: RNAcentral
AGAGUUUGAUCAUGGCUCAGGAUGAACGCUAGCUACAGGCUUAACACAUGCAAGUCGAGGGGAAACGACAUCGAAAGUCUGUCUUUUGAUGGGCGUCGACCGGCGUACGGGUGAGUAACGCGUAUCCAACCUGCCCACCACUUGGGGAUAACCUUGCGAAAGUAAGACUAAUACCCAAUGAUAUCUCUAGAAGACAUCUGAAAGAGAUUAAAGAUUUAUCGGUGAUGGAUGGGGAUGCGUCUGAUUAGCUUGUUGGCGGGGUAACGGCCCACCAAGGCAACGAUCAGUAGGGGUUCUGAGAGGAGGGUCCCCCACAUUGGAACUGAGACACGGUCCAAACUCCUACGGGAGGCAGCA